Long non-coding RNA from Malaclemys terrapin pileata, 1217 nucleotides. RefSeq lists it as uncharacterized. The transcript is spliced from 3 exons. The record is from RefSeq and is a predicted model, not a curated record. Lineage: Eukaryota; Metazoa; Chordata; Testudines; Emydidae.
AGACUGGUAUCCCGUAUUUACCACUGAACAGGUACAGCAGAGUGAGUGGCAGUACCAGCAUCCUCAUACUGCCCUGCCAAUGGGCCUGAACUCUGAUCCAGAGGGGCUAUCUCCACGAGAGAGAGCAGAGGACUUAUUCUUGCAGAUCCCAGCUCAUUACUCUCAUGGUCUCCAGCCAGGUGGCAUCCUGGAUGGGGCCCUCGAGCAUAGCUAAAGAAAGAUAGAACAGGGAUCCUGGCUGGGUGUGCAUGGACAGGAGGAAUGCCUCCCGAACUGCAUCAUUCCCCUUACCCUGCAGAAGCCCCUUAUCAGAUAUCUUACAGAGUUUCAGCCCUGCAGCGUGAUGGAGCAUACCCCGGGAACUGCCACUCUGCUACAUCACCCUGAGGGAAUUUAGAGGGUAAGUGAACGCUGGCUCCAGGAAGCCAUUUCAGGAGCAAUGGCUGGUGGAACUGUGGGUCCAUCAGGGGCAGGAAAGAGUCAUGAGCUCCUACAGCAGUGCAGAGGCAUGGGGCCUAUGCAGAGAUGGUUAGAGAUCUGGGGUUCCAGAGAGCUGAACCCCAUUCAACGUCCAUGAUGUGUAAGGGAGAAGCAGAGGCAGCCUUCCCCAAAGGAGUGAUCAGAUAAAGAAUGGUGGAGUGUCCAGUCCUGAUGAUGAGAGUACCUGUGCGGAUACCCCCAGACUACCUGAUUUAUCUGUCUUUUUGCCUAAUGCUCCUGUUGCGGGGGCUCCCACUUCAUGGUGGGGGUCUUUGGCUGAGGCUGCUUACAGCCUAGGCAUUCCAUUGAACAUCUCAGAAACCUUUUGUCUAGAAUAGAGUGGGGAGACCAGUCAGCUGGCUGUGAUAUAGUUAUAAUAAACAGCUCUCAUGCUGUUAAUUAAAUGUCUCAACUCUAUGGCAGCUGUUUUUUCCUUCCCCUACUUAAACCAACCAAGUGGUUUUAUUCAAUUACCUAAAAGGUUAGUGGGCUCUGGUAGCUUAGAAUAGGUCCAUUAUGGAUCUGUAUGUUAUAUUUAUCUAACAGAUUGGCCACAGAUUAAAAGCUUUUAAUUCAUAGGUGUGAUAUCACUAAAAGCAAGUAAUUUGCAGGUAUAGUGUUCUCUGUGUGAACGGCAACGUCUACUGAAGAAAUGCAAGCAAAGAUUUUCAAAAGCAGGGGCCUAAAGUUAGCCUCCUCAAUCUGUAUCUAGGUAUCUGGCUAAGUGACUGGCAGGA